UACGAAAGGAGCAGGUGUUAUUCAAAUUAACUGGGCGUAAAGGGCACGUAGGUGGUUUGUUAUGUGUAUUAUAAAAUUAUAAAGCACAACUUUGUAACGUAGUAUAAACAACUAAACUUGGAGUUAGGUAGAGGGUAGUAGAAUUUCUAAUGUAAAGGUGAAAUUUGAUAAAAUUAGAGAGAAUACCAAUAGCGUAAGCAACUACCUGGACCUUAACUGACACUGAGGUGCGAAGGUAUGGGGAGCAAAUAGG
This 253-nucleotide ribosomal RNA is filed under the name uncultured bacterium. RNAcentral's name for it is "partial 16S ribosomal RNA". It matches the Rfam family "Bacterial small subunit ribosomal RNA", at positions 524 to 776 of the family's 1533-position model. The record is from RNAcentral.